RNAcentral lists this ribosomal RNA (539 nucleotides) under Rigidoporus microporus. Its description in RNAcentral is "eukaryotic LSU rRNA". The stretch from base 99 to 252 matches the Rfam family "5.8S ribosomal RNA". The record is from RNAcentral. Lineage: Eukaryota; Fungi; Basidiomycota; Agaricomycetes; Polyporales; Meripilaceae.
ACUUCAGAGGGGGAGCCUCUCUUGGCCUCUCCUUCUUUCAUCACUACAAACCACUUUAAAGUCUUUUGUAUUUGUUGGUUAACUAUAAUGUUAAAUACAACUUUCAACAACGGAUCUCUUGGCUCUCGCAUCGAUGAAGAACGCAGCGAAAUGCGAUAAGUAAUGUGAAUUGCAGAAUUCAGUGAAUCAUCGAAUCUUUGAACGCACCUUGCGCUCCUUGGUAUUCCGAGGAGCAUGCCUGUUUGAGUGUCGUGUAAUUCUCAAUCUCAACUUCUUUGUUGUGGAUUGGAUUUGGGAGCUUGUCGUGUCUCUUUCUAUAAUGAAAGAGGUUAGACUCUCCUUGAAUGCAUUAGCUCGGUCACGUAGUUUGCCCGACGGUUCACGGUGUGAUAGUCUCACUUCAUCGCCGUUCUAACUGUUGGUGCCUGUGUCUUUGCCGGCUUCUAAUCUCUGGCCUCUUUUUCAAAGUGGCCUUUACACUUUUGAUACUUGACCUCAAAUCAGGUAGGAUUACCCGCUGAACUUAAGCAUAUCAAUAA